RNAcentral lists this ribosomal RNA (398 nucleotides) under uncultured bacterium. RNAcentral's name for it is "bacterial SSU rRNA". It matches the Rfam family "Bacterial small subunit ribosomal RNA", at positions 29 to 426 of the family's 1533-position model. The record is from RNAcentral.
AUUGAACGCUGGCGGCGUGCCUAACACAUGCAAGUCGAGCGGUAACAGGUGUAGCAAUACAUGCUGACGAGCGGCGGACGGGUGAGUAACGCUUGGGAAUCUGCCUAUUAGUGGGGGACAACCCGGGGAAACUCGGGCUAAUACCGCAUACGCUCUACGGAGGAAAGCCGGGGACCGCAAGGCCUGGCGCUAAUAGAUGAGCCCAAGUCGGAUUAGCUAGUUGGUAGGGUAAUGGCCUACCAAGGCGACGAUCCGUAACUGGUCUGAGAGGACGACCAGUCACACCGGAACUGAGACACGGUCCGGACUCCUACGGGAGGCAGCAGUGGGGAAUAUUGGACAAUGGGCGAAAGCCUGAUCCAGCGACGCCGCGUGGGUGAAGAAGGCCUGCGGGUUGU